Molecule: transfer RNA, 73 nt
Filed under: Gemmataceae bacterium
Lineage: Bacteria; Pseudomonadati; Planctomycetota; Planctomycetia; Gemmatales; Gemmataceae
Description: tRNA-Lys
Rfam family: tRNA
About the family: Transfer RNA (tRNA) molecules are approximately 80 nucleotides in length. Their secondary structure includes four short double-helical elements and three loops (D, anti-codon, and T loops). Further hydrogen bonds mediate the characteristic L-shaped molecular structure. tRNAs have two regions of fundamental functional importance: the anti-codon, which is responsible for specific mRNA codon recognition, and the 3' end, to which the tRNAs corresponding amino acid is attached (by aminoacyl-tRNA synthetases). tRNAs cope with the degeneracy of the genetic code in two manners: having more than one tRNA (with a specific anti-codon) for a particular amino acid; and 'wobble' base-pairing, i.e. permitting non-standard base-pairing at the 3rd anti-codon position.
Source: RNAcentral
GAACUCGUAGCUCAGCUGGUAGAGCAUCGGACUUUUAAUCCGUUGGUCCUGGGUUCGAGUCCCAGCGAGUUCA